This 253-nucleotide ribosomal RNA is filed under the name uncultured bacterium. RNAcentral's name for it is "partial 16S ribosomal RNA". It matches the Rfam family "Bacterial small subunit ribosomal RNA", at positions 524 to 776 of the family's 1533-position model. The record is from RNAcentral.
UACAGAGGGGGCUAGCGUUGUUCGGAAUUACUGGGCGUAAAGGGCGCGUAGGUGGCCUGUUAAGUCGAACGUGAAAUCCCCGGGCUCAACCCGGGAACUGCGUCCGAGACUGGCAGGCUCGAAUCCGGGAGAGGGAUGUGGAAUUCCAGGUGUAGCGGUGAAAUGCGUAGAUAUCUGGAGGAACACCGGUGGCGAAGGCGGCAUCCUGGACCGGUAUUGACGCUGAGGUGCGAAAGCGUGGGGAGCAAACAGG